UUAAAAUAGUUUAAUGUGAUUUGCUCUAUCAUGGAUACGUUUGUCUUAGUGUAUUUUGCAUUACUUUUGUUGUAGAUUAAAUGGCACCAAGCAGCACUACACCGUUUGCUUUGCGUUCGGUCCUUGAGAAGGACAAGUUGAAUGGAACAAAUUACUCGGAUUGGAUCCGUAACCUAAGAAUUGUUCUUAGGGCUGAGAAAAAGGAAGAUGUUCUAGACAACCCACUACCAGAAGAAC
RNAcentral lists this long non-coding RNA (237 nucleotides) under Setaria italica (foxtail millet). RNAcentral describes it as "long non-coding RNA (SITA_LNC001180)". Lineage: Eukaryota; Viridiplantae; Streptophyta; Magnoliopsida; Poales; Poaceae. The record is from RNAcentral.